This 994-nucleotide ribosomal RNA is filed under the name Klebsiella quasipneumoniae. RNAcentral describes it as "partial 23S ribosomal RNA". It matches the Rfam family "Bacterial large subunit ribosomal RNA", at positions 1930 to 2925 of the family's 2925-position model. The record is from RNAcentral. Lineage: Bacteria; Pseudomonadati; Pseudomonadota; Gammaproteobacteria; Enterobacterales; Enterobacteriaceae.
GCGGCCGUAACUAUAACGGUCCUAAGGUAGCGAAAUUCCUUGUCGGGUAAGUUCCGACCCGCACGAAAGGCGUAACGAUUUGGGCACUGUCUCAACGAGGGACCCGGUGAAAUUGAAGUACCUGUGAAGAUGCAGGUUACCCGCGACUGGACAGAAAGACCCCAUGGAGCUUUACUGCAACUUGAGAUUGGAUCUCGGUGACAAAUGUACAGGAUAGGUGGGAGACUUUGAACUGAUGGCGCCAGCUGUCAGGGAGUCGAUGUUGGGAUACCACCCUUUUGUGACUGAGAUUCUAACGCCAAGCGUAACGAGCUUGCGGACAUUCUCAGGCGGGCGGUUUGACUGGGGCGGUCGCCUCCGAAAGAGUAACGGAGGCGCCCAAAGGUUCCCUCAGCGCGGACGGAAAUCGCGCGAAGAGUGUAAAGGCAGAAGGGAGCUUGACUGCGAGACCCACAAGUCGAGCAGGGACGAAAGUCGGGCUUAGUGAUCCGGUGGUUCCGAGUGGAAGGGCCAUCGCUCAACGGAUAAAAGCUACCCUGGGGAUAACAGGCUAAUCUCUCCCAAGAGUCCAUAUCGACGGGGAGGUUUGGCACCUCGAUGUCGGCUCAUCACAUCCUGGGGCUGAAGUAGGUCCCAAGGGUUGGGCUGUUCGCCCAUUAAAGUGGUACGUGAGCUGGGUUCAGAACGUCGUGAGACAGUUCGGUCCCUAUCCAUCGCGGGCGCAAGAAACUUGAAGGGGGCUGCUCCUAGUACGAGAGGACCGGAGUGGACGGACCAAUGGUGUACCAGUUAUUCUGCCAAGAGUACAGCUGGGUAGCUACGUCCGGGACGGAUAAACGCUGAAAGCAUCUAAGCGUGAAACCAGCCUUGAGAUGAGGUUUCUCAUAACAAAAGUUAGUAAGACCCCUUGUAGACGACAAGGUAGAUAGGCCGGGAGUGGAAGUGCCGCAAGGCACGGAGCGGACCGGUACUAAUCGGUCGAGGGCUUAACUUA